This 465-nucleotide ribosomal RNA is filed under the name uncultured bacterium. Its description in RNAcentral is "partial 16S ribosomal RNA". It matches the Rfam family "Bacterial small subunit ribosomal RNA", at positions 338 to 795 of the family's 1533-position model. The record is from RNAcentral.
CCUACGGGAGGCAGCAGUAGGGAAUUUUCGUCAAUGGGCGCAAGCCUGAACGAGCAAUGCCGCGUGAACGAGGAAGGUCUUCGGAUCGUAAAGUUCUGUUGAAGGGGAAAAAGAGCGGAGAGAGGAAAUGGUCUCCGAUUGAUAUUACCCUUCGAGGAAGUCACGGCUAACUACGUGCCAGCAGCCGCGGUAAUACGUAGGUGGCGAGCGUUAUCCGGAAUGAUUGGGCGGAAAGGGUGCGUAGGCGGCCUGCUAAGUCUGGAGUGAAAGGUACCGGCUCAACCGGUACAGGCUCUGGAAACUGGCGGGCUAGAGAGGAGGAGAGGGCGGUGGAACUCCAUGUGUAGCGGUAAAAUGCGUAGAUAUAUGGAAGAACACCAGUGGCGAAGGCGGCCGCCUGGCCUGUUGACUGACGCUGAGGCACGAAAGCGUGGGGAGCAAAUAGGAUUAGAUACCCCGGUAGUC